Molecule: ribosomal RNA, 270 nt
Filed under: uncultured archaeon
Lineage: Archaea
Description: partial 16S ribosomal RNA
Rfam family: Archaeal small subunit ribosomal RNA
Source: RNAcentral
CUGCAGCCCGAGUGGUGAUCGAUUUUAUUGAGCCUAAAGCGUCCGUAGCCGGACUAGUAAACUCUUGGGUAAAUUGGGCAGCUUAACUGUCCAACUUCCGAGAGGACUGCUAGUCUUGGGACCGGGAGAGGUCAGAGGUACUCCAGGGGUAGGGGCUAAAUCCUGUAAUCCUUUGGGGACCACCAGUGGCGAAGGCGUCUGACUAGAACGGAUCCGACGGUAAGGGACGAAACCCUGGGGCGCGAACCGGAUUAGAUACCCGAGUAGUCC